This 2243-nucleotide long non-coding RNA is filed under the name Homo sapiens (human). RNAcentral describes it as "HSALNT0380166". Lineage: Eukaryota; Metazoa; Chordata; Mammalia; Primates; Hominidae. The record is from RNAcentral.
AAUUAUUUUAACUAGGCAAUAAUUUGAUCUAUUUUGGGAAGCCUCUUGUAAUCAAAUCAUAUAUCAACAUUAAUCACAUGGUGAGUCCUCCAUGGUUUUCAUUCCUAGAGAUUCUAGGAUGUUUGACAUUUCUCUGCUUAGCUUAUAGCAGAAAGGUAUUGGAUAUCAAGAAUGUUUGAACAGUUUCUCCUUUUUGGGAAUGAAGAUGAAAUUGGGCUAGAAUGAGAUGUGUGAUUGAGAGAAUGUCCCUGAGGCCUGAGCAGUGUGUCCUUUUGGGUAUGGGCAUUGGAAGCAUGUAGUGAAUUCUUAUAAUUUUAUGUUGCCUCGGCAUCCAUCUUGAGUAUAAGUUUAACUUUGUUAUACCAGAAGCAAGGCUUACUCACUUUUGCACAGUUUCCAGUUCUACACCUCCUUCUCGUUCCUCAGUGUGAUUGGUCCAGAUAGCUGCCUUAUCCAACUGCCUCCUUUGGACCACUUCAUCAUGGGACAGCUUGAUGCAAUCUACUUGACAAGACCCUGGAACCCCACACCCCUCAUGGAACCAGUGUCCACCUCCCAGUCACAGUGUGACCCCAGGGAACUCUUGCCUGCUUGCUUUAAACCCACCACUUAAAAGUCUCCACAGAAAACCUGUUUGAAUAGUACCCUUGACCCAAUAAGGGCAUUGGCCCCUGGGUGUCUCUCUCUCUCUCUCUCUCUCUCUCUCCCUCUCUCUCCCUCUCUCUCUCUCGCUCCCUGACCUCUGCGUGUGGACUCCAGGCAUGCCAUAUACCCCUCAGGACCUGAAGCAAAAGAAUGAAUUAAAGAAAACUCCAGAGAAUGAGCUGACAACCUACUCCCUGGUCAGUGGCUCUCCAUGCCUACCUGUGGUCUCUUGGACACCCUUGCAGAAGAUGACUUCCUGGGAACUCUUCUGGGAGUGAAUGUUAUCAGCAAAUUCCCAAAACAACACCCCUUAGACAAAAAGCCUCCUCACCUAUGCAUUGCCUAGACCACCCACUAAAGGUGAUGGCCACAAAGAGGUGGAUUUGUUGAGUUGGUGCCAUUCCUUCUACUGCCAGCUUCACCAAAACAAUGACACAGUCUUCCUUCCGCAUGGAGACUCUUCUCUUUCCUGUGUUGCAGUGGAUGCCUCCUGCAGAUAAGAAAUGCUUAACUGAGAAAUGCUCAUGUUGGGAUAUCAUCGAUGAGACUUUAAUUUGGGCAUGGUGACUGUUUCCCUUGCUGCCACUUGACUCAAUCCCAGGAGCCUCAGUAGAGGAUAUAAUAUUACACAAGAUGCUCAAAAUGGUGGAAUUGCUCAGUGCUCCCAUAAAUAUACAUUUAUAAUUUUCAUUUGCCACAUGGUAAACUGAAAAAUACAGACUAUAUUAAAAAGAAACUGCAUGAUUUUUUUUCAAAAAUUCAAAGCAUAUUUAAAUAAUAUAUAAAUUAAAUGCCCUCCUCUCUUCCAAUUCUGUCCCUAUAGUUUUCCUCUAUUAAGUGAACUACAUGCAUUCUUUUAGUGGAUAGAUGCACACAAACACACAAGCCAUUAUGGGGAAGGAUCCACGUGUGUGGCCAUAUUGUAACACAUUUUUCUGCAAAUCACCUCUUUCAUUUAACAGCCCUUAUUCAAUGGCCUUUUUCUUUUUCAGUAGUACAUACACAUCUGUGUCAUUUGUUGAAUGACGACAUGAAUGUUUUGUAGAUAAAAUAUAAUUAAAUGUUUUAAGCAUUUCUCACUCAUAGAUAUUUAUGUUAGCACCAAAUUUCUGUGCAAUGAACCUCCCUAUAUAUCAGUAAUUUUGCAUUUGUCUAUAAUAUCAUAAUAAAUUACUUAUCAGUUGAAUUACUGGGAUUAAGUAUGUGCACACUUUAUAUUUAUAUUUUGAAAAUUAUUGCAAGAUUGCCUUCAAAAAUGUGGUUAACAACUUUAUCUUCAAAUGGCAAUGAAUGAGAUUGCCAGCUUUCCUACAGCCUCACAGACAAUGGAUUUUAUAAAUAUUUAACAUUUUUGCCAAUGUGAUCACCCAAACUAUUGUCUUAAAUUGUAUCUCUUUUGUUUUUGAGUUUGGUCAUUUUUUCAUGUUUAUUAGCCAUCUGUAUUUUUUAAUUUCUUCUUUAUGUCCAAUUUUGUGGGUGGGAGGAGGAUUUAGUCUCUUCCUGAUUUCGAAGAGCUCAUUUACUAUUUCGGGAAAUAAGAUUUGGAUUGUCAACCAUUAUAGCUAUUUUUUACACACUUUUCAACUUUGUUUUUGUUA